Molecule: long non-coding RNA, 2441 nt
Organism: Cyprinus carpio (common carp)
Lineage: Eukaryota; Metazoa; Chordata; Actinopteri; Cypriniformes; Cyprinidae
Source: Ensembl
GCUCAUGGCUUUCACUGGUAUUGGUUUAUUUCUGUCUGGACUCAUAGGAUUCAUCUGUCUGUGCCGCUUUACCAGUUCUGCUGAUGUUCUCACAGAACUGAACUACAUCUCCUGCCAGAUGGAAACAACAUCUCUUUUAACUUCCUCUGUGUGCUCCUCAAAACAUGAAUGACUUGUUUACUUUCUUCACUUGUUGCCUUUAAACACAAAAAAUGAUAUGUACAGAAAGAUAAUACAGUAUUUAGCUACUGAAUUUAUAUACUGAUCAGCAGACCACACAGAAUCUGUGGAGCUUUUUUUCCCCACAUUUUGAUUUUGGGAGAAAAUAGAUUUUUUUUUAUGGGUAAAAUGUGUUAAAUGUAGGUGAAAGUCAUCUGUGGAGUUAAGAUGCAGAUUCAUUACAAGAUCAGAGAUCGGUACAGAUCUGAGGCUUAAGAAAUAUAAAAUCUAAUUUAUGUCAUUUUUUUGUAUUUUAUUUUUUUAUCAACAAUUGUAACAUAUACAUGUACAAGAGUACAUGUAUAAUAAAGUUGCAGCAUGGUAUAAACAAUUUCAUAAAAUUUGCAUAAUGCCUUUAAUUUGUAAUAUUUUCAGUUUCAGUUGUCUGAUCAAAGAGCAACUGACCGCUUGACAUUGUCUGCAUGUUUUAUGCAUUAAUGAGCAAACGUGUACCUAAUAAAGAGACUACAAGGUGAAUAAUGUAUUCCACAUUCUUAAUUUUGUUAUUAUGAUCUUAUGUUUUUCAAGUGUAUUAAUGGUACAGAUGUUUUUGGCACAUUUAUGUGUUACUUUUACAAAACUACCUUCCUUCUUUUAGUCUUUGCCCCAGAUCUGUCGUCUGUUAAAGUGAAUAUAGCUGUACAUGUGGUCUCACGAUCUGUGUUCAUCUUCAUAACUGGCUGUUCAAUGCAUUAAUAGUUUGUGGUCUGAUGUUCCACUUCCUUAUUCACCCAUUAUUAGAGUCUCAUUCUGUAUCUUCUCUCACACUCGCUGUUAUGGAGCUGUUCAUCUUCAUAGUUUUUCAGCUCCUGAUGGAGGUUCAGUCUCACCAAUUUCCUAGAGUAAAAGUAUCUCCAGAUGUCAUAAGAGAGUCCAGCGCAGUGAAGAUCAGCUGUGAGACAGAAACACAUGUUACAGCGAAUAAAUGUUAUUUCUACAUAAACAGAGAGGAGAAGAAAAUGAAAACCAGUCCAUCAUGUGAGCUGGAUCUCACUGGUGCUGAAGUGUUCAGAUGGGCAGCUGUAAAAUCACCUGAAUCACUCAACAUUAUCUGUUACUACACAAUGAUAAAUGUGCAAGGCUCAUUCAUAACAUCAUCUGAAUCUGAUCCUGCCACAGUGACAGUUCUAGUUUCAACAUCAACCACUACUGAAAAAACUACUUCAACAGCCAUGAAAACCUCAUUAACUGUAAUGUCCACUUCUGAAACUACAACAUACAGUAAAACUACAGACCUCCAAUUCAAGACAAACACGCCAAACAGUACGGCAAAGGAAACCAUGAGUAAGUUCAUCCACUCUUUCUCAAUGGUAAAAGUUACUAUGUAGAAUUAAUAUAAUUAAUAAUUCCUUACAUUUAUAUAGCGCUUUUCUGGGCACUCAAAGCACUUUACAUAGAAGGGGGUAUCUCCUCAAACAACCACCACCAUUCAAAAGUUAAAAUAUAGCUGGGAAUUAUUUUCAAAGCUUAUUGGUACAUCAGUAACUCAUAGUGGUAGUUCCUGAAUGAAAGCAGUAAACAUAGAGAAUACAACAAAGGCAAGUCUCAUGAUUAUGCUGCUGAACAGUAAAUGUCAGAAAAUAGUGAAGGCCAGAAUGACUUUUGCCCAGAUUUACAGUCUGGAUACAUUGAUGCUAGUUGGCUAAAGUCAGAACACAUUUGUUUCGACAGAUUUCAUAGGAAGUCAUGUAGUGUAUGAUGGUCACUUCAUUUUUUAGUUUCAGUCUGAGAAUGUCAAACAUGUUUGAUAUUUUUGAGCUGAUUUUAGAGCACAUAAGCUGUGUCCCAAUUCAGAGGCUGCAUCCUUGGAAGGACACAGAAUUUAAAGUCAUGUCUUCAAAGGCUAUGGAGGUGGGGCAGAGCGUUGUUAAAUGGGACUGUCUAGCCUACAAAGUAAAAACAGGUGUGAAUGGGGUCUGAAAUGUUUUGAUCCACUUUCAGAUGUAGUUGAAAAUGUAUUUGACCGGAUUGCUUUCAUAGUGUAAACACUCAUUCGGUCGAAUGCAAACCACCACUAAAGACAGCCUCCUCUCUUCCAACUGAUCUAAGUCUUAAACAUUAGAGGACGUGUUGUUGAAGCACGAUAAUAGAUGGGAUUUAAACUUUACAGACUGAAUUCAUACGUCUGGUUUGAAGGUGAAAAAAUGUCAAAAGCACAAUGUUCUCUUACCAGUCCUGAUUCAAACACAAACUAACACAAAAUAAAUUAUUUGAUCAUUACA